This 148-nucleotide signal recognition particle RNA is filed under the name Gorilla gorilla gorilla (western lowland gorilla). RNAcentral describes it as "Metazoan signal recognition particle RNA". It matches the Rfam family "Metazoan signal recognition particle RNA". From Rfam's summary of the family: The signal recognition particle (SRP) is a universally conserved ribonucleoprotein. It is involved in the co-translational targeting of proteins to membranes. The record is from Rfam by way of RNAcentral. Lineage: Eukaryota; Metazoa; Chordata; Mammalia; Primates; Hominidae.
GCCAGGCGUGAUGAUGCAUGCCUAUAGUCCCAGCUACUUGGGAGGCUGAGGUGGGAGGAUCAUUUGAGCCCAGGAGUUCGAGGCUGCAGUGAGCCAUGAUCGUGCCACUGCACUCCAGCCUGGGCAACAGAAUGAGACUCCAUCUCCC